AGGGUUUGAUCAUGGCUCAGGACGAACGCUGGCGGCGUGCCUAAUACAUGCAAGUCGAACGCUUCUUACUUAUCGAACUUCGGUUCACCAAGUAAGAAGAGUGGCGAACGGGUGAGUAACACGUGGGUAACCUGCCCAUCAGAGGGGGAUAACACUUGGAAACAGGUGCUAAUACCGCAUAAUUCUUUUUGUCGCAUGAUAGAAAGAUGAAAGGCGCUUUUGCGUCACUGAUGGAUGGACCCGCGGUGCAUUAGCUAGUUGGUAGGGUAAUGGCUUACCAAGGCAAUGAUGCAUAGCCGACCUGAGAGGGUGAUCGGCCACACUGGGACUGAGACACGGCCCAG
Molecule: ribosomal RNA, 344 nt
Filed under: uncultured bacterium
Lineage: Bacteria
Description: bacterial SSU rRNA
Rfam family: Bacterial small subunit ribosomal RNA
Source: RNAcentral